UAAACAAAAUAAACAGAUUAACUGAACUAAACGGUGAAUGAAAAAAAAAAACAAAACAUUUGAAUAUAUAGGGAACGUUAUCAGCACUGCCGUUGAGAGCAUGGCAUUCCUCAGUAUAAAGUGCACAUGUAUCUGUGUAUAAUGUAUAAUAUAUAAAAUAUUACUUCAUUUAAGUGUGAUGAUUGCAAAGUAAAUAAUUAUUUGCAGAUAUUUGUUGUACGCAUGUAUAAAACACUUUCAAUCAAUGUGAGUUCAAGUGCACUGCACUGAUAAGAAUUGCGAGCGGUCAGUGUAAAGAAGGCGAGACCAACAUUUUAGUCAUUGUUAAUAUACUAAAGAAUCAACAACACAAAAGAACGCGAAUAUUCAAAAUAUAAAUAAAAUUGGUGAACAAUAUUAAAGACGGCAGAAAAAUGAAAUUACUAUAUUACCUAGUUGUGCUGUUUCUAAUCGGAAUUAGCGGUAUUGUGCAGUUUGAAACCAAUCUCGUUACUAGUAAAGUGAUUUUUUAUACUAACAAAAAUAAAACUAAGGAAAGCAGCAUAUUUGCAAUACAUCGACGUAAAUGCCGUUACGCAAUGGAUCAUCUUGGUCGUUGUCGUAAUUUUGCAUAAGCACAGCUGUAGACGAAAUCGGAAGUUGUGAGCGUAAACCCCCCAAGUGCUUCGAUCCACAUACACAACGAUAAAAGUGACAAAUUAUAGUGUUGCUAUGAGAUUGGAAAUUUCUAAUUUUUUGCUAUUAUUUAUAAAGGCAUUACAUUUAUCGCUUUGCCGCCACUGAUGAAAUAGCCAACUAAUAAAAUACAAAUAUGUUAUAAUA
Long non-coding RNA from Zeugodacus cucurbitae (melon fly), 822 nucleotides. RefSeq lists it as uncharacterized. NCBI's taxonomy places the organism in Eukaryota, Metazoa, Arthropoda, Insecta, Diptera, Tephritidae. The record is from RefSeq and is a predicted model, not a curated record. The transcript has 2 exons.